RNAcentral lists this transfer RNA (71 nucleotides) under Loxodonta africana (African savanna elephant). It matches the Rfam family "tRNA". Rfam says of the family: Transfer RNA (tRNA) molecules are approximately 80 nucleotides in length. Their secondary structure includes four short double-helical elements and three loops (D, anti-codon, and T loops). The record is from Rfam by way of RNAcentral. Lineage: Eukaryota; Metazoa; Chordata; Mammalia; Proboscidea; Elephantidae.
GCAAUGGUGGUUCAGUGGUAGAAUUCUCGCCUUUCAUGAGGAAGACUCAGGUGUGAUUCCUGGCCAGUGCA